Cyprinus carpio (common carp) is the source of this 1194-nucleotide long non-coding RNA. NCBI's taxonomy places the organism in Eukaryota, Metazoa, Chordata, Actinopteri, Cypriniformes, Cyprinidae. The record is from Ensembl.
AUGACAGAAAAGGGAAGCUCUAUUUCCGAACUUUUAAUCAGAACGAAGACAGUCUAUGAGAUGAACACUCAUCUCUCCGAACUAUGCUCUGAACUUACUUUGUUUCACAACUAUGAAGAGUCUGUGCGCUACAAUAUUUUCCAUAGCCUACAUAACAUUGUAUUUUGCAGAAUAACAGUGAAUUCACGCCUUGGUUUCAUGAUAGCCUUUUAUAAACUCAUUUAGCCCGAUACUAAUAUCUCAUUUACAAUUUAUUGAACUAAAUAAUUUUGUCAAACUAUAUUGUGAUUAUGUUAAAUGUAUGAGACACUAGGUAUUAGUUAUGUUUCUGUUAUAACUUUUUUUUUCUCUCAAUGUAGCCAAACAUUACGACUUUCACAGUGAGUAUUUAAAAGUUUUUAUUGCAUAUUUGUUCAUACCAUAUUUGUGUCAAAUACCCUUAGCUCUUAUGAUAUUUAAAUUGUUAAAUUGCUUUUUUGAGAGCCGACACUGUAAUUCAGGCUGCAAAGUGGUUGGCCAUUUUGUGUUACACCCGUUUGACACAUACUCCGUCUGCAGUGCUUAUGUGCGUGUUGCAGUACAUGUAUGGCAAGCUAUAAUGCUCAGAAUUACGUAAUGUUAAUUAAAUCACUAUUUAUUAAUAGCAGUCUGUUAAUUAAUAAUUAAACACUGUUGGGUUUCUCACACAAACCGAUCAUUUCGUGUCAGACAUCAAUGUGUCAGUGACAGUAUUUAUAUCACAUUUUACCUCAAAUCAGCCGUCCCCACACCAUCACUUCUGGUAAGUGAGGUCAAAUUACACGAUAUGGCAUAGAGAUACGCACGAGAGAUCACUUCCGCCGCUUGCAUCCCAUUGAGAUACGCCAUAUUGUGUACAUGACUUUGGAACAGAGUAGAGUUAUAAAUUAUAUUCAAAUUAAAUGCAUAUGUGGUGAAAUUACUAGAUUUACUAGAAAUCAGAUACAUUUUAAAUUAAAACUUACAACAGGCUUGACAAAAACAGCCGAUUCUCAUCUUUUCUUUUGUUUUAAAAUCUUUUUUACAAGAAAUCCUGCAGGUCAUAAAGAAAUUAGUUUUUCCACCUCCAAGAAAGGAUGAGUGCUAACCAUUAUGUAACUUUUUUUUACCAAAAUGCCAGGUAUAGUGUCGUUUUCCUUGCUUUAUCCAAGGAAAAAAGCCAUGUGUUGACUUUGA